GUUUAAAGAAAGCAGUAAUAAAACAUGUAACUGAAUUGAUUGCAUCUUAAACCUGAGAGUCAAGUUGGGUCUCGAAAAGAUAUUUGCACACCCGUGUUCAUAGCAGCAUUAUUCACAGUGGCCAAGAGGUGCAAGCAACCAAAUGUCUGUCAGCUGGUGACUGGUUAAACAAAAUGUGGCAUAUAUACACAAUGUUCAGCCUUAAAAAAGGAAGGAAGUCCUGUUACAUGCUACAACAUGGAUGAACCAUGAGGACAUUAUACUAAGGGAAAUAAGCCAGCCGCAAAAAGACAAACACUGUAUGAUUCCACUUGUACAAUGGAUCUAAAGUGGUCAAACUCACGGAAAGAGAAAAAUAGAAGGGUGGCUACUGGAAGGUGGGUGGACAUGGGAGUUCUUGUUUAAUGGAGUUUCAGUUUUGCAAGGGAAGAAAGUUCUGGAGCUCUGUUGCACAACAAUGUGAGUAUACUUAAUCCUACUGAACCUUGUUGUACUUGAAAAUGGUUAAGGUGGUAAAUUUUAUGUUAUGCUUUUUUUUUUAACCACAAAAUUACAAUAGCAAAACAAAACCCCAAUGUCUCUUCAGGAUCACCUUGUCUGUCUACUAUUUUACAAAUGGCACAGGGAUUUGCCCAAGGUCAUCAUCCGUAUUCAAGGAGACUUGACUCAGGGUUGGAUGCUGUUCGUGCUCCAGCAGCCUGACUCUCCGGUAGUUCUGAUGAUCCUGGCACAGGGUUAUUUGGCUGGUGCGUCAUGUUAUGAGUUCAGCUGUGUCAAGUAAACUCUUGUGGGAUAAAGCCAGCUGACUCAGCGGGCAUCUGAGGAAGACAGCGUCCAGGACGGCAAGGGAAACUUCGUUAUCAAAGAGCCAUUGAGUGAUAGCAAGAAAUCAAUGGAGGCCCACAAGGUAAAUUCAUCUUAAUUUUGUGUUUUCAUAUGAGCAGAAAUGAGAGAAAAUGCCUAAAUCAUUUGCAGCAGUGAGUGACAACAGAGGUGAAUAGAAACAUGUGAAUACUCCUUAAGACAACCCCUCCCAUCCCUAGGGAAACUGCCAUGAUGACCCACUGUCACUGAUACUCUUUUAUUUAAUUCCUUCUGGCAUGCCAGGGUGGAGAAUAGACUAAGCACCCGCUGUUCCACAUUUUAACAUAGAAGGCUUAACGUACUAAUUUUCUAUCACUGUGUAACAAACGACCACAGACUAGUAGCUUUAAACAACACCUAUUUGUUAUCUCACAGUAAAAUCCAGGCAUGAAUCAACUGGGGUCUCUGUUCAAGGUCUCACAAGCUGAAAUCAAGGUGUUGGCUGGGGCCACAAUCUUAUCUGAGGCUCAAGGUCAUCCUUCAAGCUCAUUGGUUGUUAGCAGAAUUCACUCCCUGCCUCAGUAGAAAUGGGGUGUUUCCCCAGGACCCUACCUUUCCAGCAGUGCUCCCUUCCAGAAGGCUCAAAUUCUUCAGACCUCCAGUUCCUGCUCCCAAAUCAUUACUUCCCACCCUCAUUUUAAAAUGAUUCCGUUGAAACACAUGCC
This 1529-nucleotide long non-coding RNA is filed under the name Camelus dromedarius (Arabian camel). RNAcentral's name for it is "lncRNA (ENSCDRG00005007225.1)". The record is from RNAcentral. Lineage: Eukaryota; Metazoa; Chordata; Mammalia; Artiodactyla; Camelidae.